CCUACGGGAGGCAGCAGUGGGGAAUAUUGGGCAAUGGAGGAAACUCUGACCCAGCGACGCCGCGUGCGGGAUGAAGGCCUUCGGGUUGUAAACCGCUUUCAGUAGGGAAGAAGCGAAAGUGACGGUACCUACAAAAGAAGCACCGGCUAACUAUGUGCCAGCAGCCGCGGUAAUACAUAGGGUGCAAGCGUUGUCCGGAAUUAUUGGGCGUAAAGAGCUCGUAGGUCGUUUGUUACGUCGGAUGUGAAAACCUGAGGCUCAACCUCAGGCCUGCAUUCGAUACGGGCAAACUAGAGUUUGGUAGGGGAGACUGGAAUUCCUGGUGUAGCGGUGGAAUGCGCAGAUAUCAGGAGGAACACCAAUGGCGAAGGCAGGUCUCUGGGCCAAUACUGACACUGAGGAGCGAAAGUCUGGGGAGCGAACAGGAUUAGAUACCCUGGUAGUCCAGGCCGUAAACGGUGGGCACUAGUUGUGGGAACCUUCCACGGUUUCUGCGACGCNGCUACGCAUAGUAGCCCGCCCGUCGGGAGGUACGAGCGCGAGAAGUUAAACGUAACGAAAGGAAGUAGUAACGGUCGUGAGACGUGCCGAACGGACGACGACGAGGGAGGAGG
This 614-nucleotide ribosomal RNA is filed under the name uncultured bacterium. RNAcentral's name for it is "bacterial SSU rRNA". The stretch from base 1 to 521 matches the Rfam family "Bacterial small subunit ribosomal RNA", at positions 338 to 873 of the family's 1533-position model. The record is from RNAcentral.